RNAcentral lists this transfer RNA (73 nucleotides) under Podarcis lilfordi (Lilford's wall lizard). RNAcentral's name for it is "tRNA.Ile". The stretch from base 4 to 62 matches the Rfam family "tRNA", at positions 8 to 63 of the family's 71-position model. Rfam says of the family: Transfer RNA (tRNA) molecules are approximately 80 nucleotides in length. Their secondary structure includes four short double-helical elements and three loops (D, anti-codon, and T loops). Further hydrogen bonds mediate the characteristic L-shaped molecular structure. tRNAs have two regions of fundamental functional importance: the anti-codon, which is responsible for specific mRNA codon recognition, and the 3' end, to which the tRNAs corresponding amino acid is attached (by aminoacyl-tRNA synthetases). tRNAs cope with the degeneracy of the genetic code in two manners: having more than one tRNA (with a specific anti-codon) for a particular amino acid; and 'wobble' base-pairing, i.e. permitting non-standard base-pairing at the 3rd anti-codon position. Lineage: Eukaryota; Metazoa; Chordata; Lepidosauria; Squamata; Lacertidae. The record is from RNAcentral.
GGAUAGCUCAGCUGGUUAGAGCGUGGAACUGAUAAUGCCAAGGUUGCAAGUUUGAUCCUCGUAUGGGGCAACU